CACGUAGGGCGCGAGCGUUGUCCGGAAUUAUUGGGCGUAAAGAGCUCGUAGGCGGUUUGUCGCGUCUGCUGUGAAAUCCCGAGGCUCAACCUCGGGCCUGCAGUGGGUACGGGCAGACUAGAGUGCGGUAGGGGAGAUUGGAAUUCCUGGUGUAGCGGUGGAAUGCGCAGAUAUCAGGAGGAACACCGAUGGCGAAGGCAGAUCUCUGGGCCGUAACUGACGCUGAGGAGCGAAAGCGUGGGGAGCGAACAGG
This 253-nucleotide ribosomal RNA is filed under the name uncultured bacterium. Its description in RNAcentral is "partial 16S ribosomal RNA". It matches the Rfam family "Bacterial small subunit ribosomal RNA", at positions 524 to 776 of the family's 1533-position model. The record is from RNAcentral.